RNAcentral lists this ribosomal RNA (344 nucleotides) under uncultured bacterium. RNAcentral's name for it is "bacterial SSU rRNA". It matches the Rfam family "Bacterial small subunit ribosomal RNA", at positions 455 to 793 of the family's 1533-position model. The record is from RNAcentral.
AACACCUGCAUUAUUUGACGUUACCUACAGAAGAAGCACCGGCUAACUCCGUGCCAGCAGCCGCGGUAAUACGGAGGGUGCGAGCGUUAAUCGGAAUUACUGGGCGUAAAGCGCAUGCAGGCGGCCUGUUAAGUCAGAUGUGAAAGCCGGGGCGUUAACCUCGGAAUUGCAUUUGAAACUAGGCAGGCUAGAGUCUUGUAGAGGGGGUAGGAAGUUUCUAGGUGUAGCGGUGAAAUAGCGUAGAGAUCUGAAGGAAUACCAGUGGCGAAGGCGGCCCCCUCGGACAAAGACUGACGCUCAGAUGCGAAAGCGUGGGGAGCAAACAGGAUUAGAUACCCUGGUAG